Molecule: long non-coding RNA, 394 nt
Organism: Zalophus californianus (California sea lion)
Lineage: Eukaryota; Metazoa; Chordata; Mammalia; Carnivora; Otariidae
Exons: 3
Source: RefSeq, a predicted model, not a curated record
UUUUUUCUUUAAAGCUCCCCAGGUAAUUCUCCCGUGGAGCCAAGCUUGAGAUCUCCUGGUGAGGCCAAGAGGAGGAACCUGAGAAUCAGGAGACCUGAAGCCAAAACCACCACUGAGUCAUCCUGUGAUCUUGGGCAAUACUGCCCACAUUCUGAGACAAGUUCCAAGGAUGUCUACAGGAAGCUGCUGGACCAGAAAAGCCAGGAUUCUGAUGAGUUCCAUGUUGGGCACUGGGAGCCUUACCUGGAAAAUGAUAUCCCCAGAUUGGUAUACUGUGAAGAGCCAAUCGAAGACUGAACAGCCAAAACUUCAGAAAAAUAGUUUUAGAAAGAUAUGUCAUAGGGGCACCUGGGUGGCUCAGUCGUUAAACGUCUGCCUUUGGCUCAGGUCAUGA